This 65-nucleotide transfer RNA is filed under the name Appalachioria falcifera. Its description in RNAcentral is "tRNA-Tyr". Lineage: Eukaryota; Metazoa; Arthropoda; Diplopoda; Polydesmida; Xystodesmidae. The record is from RNAcentral.
UUUAGUAAGGUAGUUUAAGUUUGAAUGGUAGAUUGUAAAUUUAUUGGUGACGCUGUCUCUUAUUA